This 544-nucleotide ribosomal RNA is filed under the name Suturaspis crataegi. Its description in RNAcentral is "eukaryotic LSU rRNA". Lineage: Eukaryota; Metazoa; Arthropoda; Insecta; Hemiptera; Diaspididae. The record is from RNAcentral.
AUCUGGGCGACGGAAUUCAGGAUGACGGUCGCGUCUUAACGGCGUGCCCGUCGUUUGAUAUUUCCGUCGCCGGCGUACAGACGUCGCGACCCGUUCGUCGUCGGUCCCUGUUCGAAGGAGUCGCGUUCGAGCUCGUUGUGGGGUGCGUUUCGCGCGUACUUUUCACGGCGAAGGCGCGGAUUUUCUGGCUGACGACGGACGGUACGUUUAAGGGUGGCCGACGCGCGCGUAAGCGCGCGCGUCGGUGCCGGUCGGCGACGAAUUCUUCGGGCCUCUUUCCGACCCGUCUUGAAACACGGACCAAGGAGUCUAACAUGCGCGCGAGUCGCGGGGCGUCGAGCGUACCACGGUGCGUUCGUUACGUUGCGAAACCCGUACAUGUCGAAGGCGUAAUGAAAGUGAAUCGGGAAGAUGGUGUUCCGAGUUCACGUUCCGCGAUCGUCGGUAUCGCGGCCGGACACCCGCAUUCCCGGGGCGUCUCAACGGCCCGUCGCGGAUGCGGACGAUCGACUCUCGGGUCGGCCGUCGGUCUGCGACGAACCGA